GCGUCUCCGUUGAUGAUUUUAGGUGCUUGCACUUGAAAGAUUUAACAUUGAGACGAGUGGCGAACUGGUGAGUAACACGUGGGUAACCUGCCCUUGAAGUAGGGGAUAACACUUGGAAACAGGUGCUAAUACCGUAUAACAACCAAAACCACCUGGUUUUGGUUUAAAGGACGGCUUCGGCUGUCACUUUAGGAUGGACCCGCGGCGUAUUAGCUUGUUGGUAAGGUAACGGCCUACCAAGGCGAUGAUACGUAGCCGACCUGAGAGGGUAAUCGGCCACAUUGGGACUGAGACACGGCCCAAACUCCUACGGGAGGCAGCAGUAGGGAAUCUUCCACAAUGGACGAAAGUCUGAUGGAGCAACGCCGCGUGAGUGAUGAAGGGUUUCGGCUCGUAAAACUCUGUUGUUGGAGAAGAACAGGUGUCAGAGUAACUGUUGACAUCUUGACGGUAUCCAACCAGAAAGCCACGGCUAACUACGUGCCAGCAGCCGCGGUAAUACGUAGGUGGCAAGCGUUGUCCGGAUUUAUUGGGCGUAAAGCGAGCGCAGGCGGUUUUUUAGGUCUGAUGUGAAAGCCUUCGGCUUAACCGGAGAAGUGCAUCGGAAACCGGGAGACUUGAGUGCAGAAGAGGACAGUGGAACUCCAUGUGUAGCGGUGAAAUGCGUAGAUAUAUGGAAGAACACCAGUGGCGAAGGCGGCUGUCUGGUCUGUAACUGACGCUGAGGCUCGAAAGCAUGGGUAGCGAACAGGAUUAGAUACCCUGGUAGUCCAUGC
This 776-nucleotide ribosomal RNA is filed under the name uncultured bacterium. RNAcentral's name for it is "bacterial SSU rRNA". It matches the Rfam family "Bacterial small subunit ribosomal RNA", at positions 44 to 800 of the family's 1533-position model. The record is from RNAcentral.